RNAcentral lists this ribosomal RNA (253 nucleotides) under uncultured bacterium. RNAcentral describes it as "partial 16S ribosomal RNA". It matches the Rfam family "Bacterial small subunit ribosomal RNA", at positions 524 to 776 of the family's 1533-position model. The record is from RNAcentral.
UACAGAGGGUGCAAGCGUUAAUCGGAUUUACUGGGCGUAAAGCGUGUGUAGGUGGUUGCAUAAGUCGGAUGUGAAAGCCCUGGGCUCAACCUGGGAAUGCCAUUCGAUACUGUGCGACUAGAGUACGGUAGAGGGAGGCGGAACUCCGGGUGUAGCGGUGAAAUGCGUAGAUAUCCGGAAGAACACCGAUGGCGAAGGCAACCUCCUGGGCCUGUACUGACACUGAGACACGAAAGCGUGGGGAGCAAACAGG